CACAGACAUUUAAGGAGUGUAGUGGCAAUGCUAAGUCAUGGCUUGAAGCAGUGAUGGAGCACCUGGUGGAAGGCAGGGCCAGCACAGAGGAGCUCAGGUGCAUGCAAUGUACCUGAGUGAUGGAAGGGCUGGAGCCAGGAUCCACCCCUGCCCAGACCUCAUUUAAGGGCUGGCAGUGGAUGAGAAUCUAUUUCAUCAGGAUGUCCCUGCUAACAUGAAGAUCUUGGAGGGAUUCUGAAGGGAGUCUUUAGCACUUGGAACUUGGUGCCAGCAGCAGCCAUCUGAGCAUAGGGAUGAAGAGGAGAGGAAUUCACUGGGUUGCCUUCGUGUUCACCUUCCUCACUGAAGGACAACUGAAACCAUUGUCAAUACACAGCUAAAUGAAUGCUCAAGCCCCCAGAAGACAAAAUCUGAGAAGAAAUCAGAGCUCUUUCAAGUGCUGGCAGAAAUGAAAGAUAACUCGGGUUUCAGCUGUCUGCAAGAAUCUUUGUGUUAUGAUCCAUCAAUCCCUCUACUACACCAACCAGCACCAAAACAUAUGCUUUGUUUUUCACGUCAUCCCAAUGAGAGUUCAGCAUCAGCUGCCAGCUAAAGCUCUGCAAAGGUAAUUUUGUGCAGGAUGGAAGAAAUGAGUGACAGGUUGCACGUCUGGAACCUCACUGGGUUCCAUCCCAGCUCCAUGGCUUGCAGCUCUGGUCAGCAACAGCACAUGCAAAGGACUGGGGAGCAGCAUCAGCUGAAGCUGGGUUCUGUUAUUUAUUGGAUGAACUAUUUGCUAAAGAAGGCAGAUGGGAAACUUAAAACACUUAUGAAUAUGCAUUUUGUUGGUUUUCCCAUUAUGUCAUCAUGUGACAUUAGUAAGCAGUCAUUUCUAAUUGACUUCAAAAUCCAUUGCAAAGAGGCUUUGCAAAGCACAGGGAGCAUGUCCCACUGGUACUUGUGUGGUGCCAGCCCCAUGUGGGCCAGGAAUGCUGCAAUGACUGCUAGGCAGCCAGCAAGGGGCCAUCUCAUUCUGUCUGCUGGGGGCAGGUGCUGGAGCUGGGCAGACCUCAGAGCUGCACUGGGUUCUGUGAGGCUCUGUUGAAGUUUCCAGGAAUAAUUCAAGACAGAGUUUGGACACCCUAAGCAGGGGGGCAUGCUAUAUACCUCCAUUUAUACCACAGUGUAUUCAUUUCUAAAAAGCACAGAAAUGCCCUCCAGCUUUCUGUCCUGCACAUCCAGACCCACACGGCUGUGUGCUCUGAGCUCAGGCUGCCCCAGCUCUGCUCCGUUCCCCAGCUGCCAGCAGCACAGUACUUAGCAGGAAGGUGGCUGCGCUGCCAAACUGCUUCCUACACACACACUGCUCACGUGAGUGAACUGUAUUUGCUGUGAGCAUGGAAUUAUUUUUUUACACUUGUGAAAGGAGCACAAAUAGAAGGGCCCUAUUCCAUUUUUGUGUGGCAGUUCCCAGGAUGGCACUACAAAAACUGUGGCCCUUCUUCAGGGUCCAGCCUGCUGAGAGCAAAACGGGGAGAGGGGAAGGAAAAAUCAUCUCUAACAGGAUUUUAACAAAGUUAUCAGUUUUCUGUUUAAGCCACUGAAGACAUGAUACUGACAACAGCACAAAUGAAUUAGAAGUCUGCAACAAAAAACGCUCCCAAAAAUUUUGUAUUUGCACGGCAACCAGCUUAUUAUAUUUACAUGAACAUCUGCUGCAGGUUCACAAAAACCUUUAAAACAGAUGGACAUGAAGAAAGAGCUAGUAAUUAACAAAGCUAUAUGUUGAUUAAAUCAGUGUGUGGUUAAUUUUAAUGAUUACUGAUCCUUAUAGGAGUCCAUAAGACUUCUCAAAAUUAAAGCCACUUCAACUGAUGAACUACAGCCGCAGAGCACAGUAGUGUUUGCUGUCCUCAUCCUGCUCCCAUGGAAUUAAUUGGAGCAAGUAAUUGUGGACCUGUGCCAGAAAGGGCUGUUGUGAGCAUCCGUUGUGCUUUGAACACAGAAACUUUCCAGGAUGGAUUUCUUUUGAGCUAGAGCAGCCCCUACAGAGAGCCAGUGCCCAGUGCCCAGUAAGACAUUUUGGCAAUGAGGAGUCUUUGGUAGGAUGUUCUCGUCACUGGAGUACUCCUUCUGUGCUUAAAACUCUUAUUUAUCUCACUUUCCAGCUUUGGAUCUCCUUUAUCCCUGCCUACUUUGAAAACCUCUCUGUUUCCAAAGUUCUGCUCCCUGUGUUCAUAUUGAGACUGGAGCACAUCCUACCCCUCACUGCUGAGAUUGUCUGCUUCCAGCCUUGCUGCCUGGCUGCUGGCCCUCUGUUCCCCAAGGCCUUGUGCACUCCCUUGCUCAGAGCCAAGUCCCACUGCUAUCAGUGGGUGCCUUGCAGACUGCUUUCCUCCUCUGCUGUGUUUGUCAUCUCGUUACAAAAUGUCAACGUUAUCUAGUGGUCCUAUUUUCCACACCCACAAGGUGAUUGACACUAAUUAGAAUACAUUUCCUAAUUACUCAUCAGACAAGUCUCGCAUCAGCUGUUCUGAUGUGCUAACAAGCCCUGUGGCUCAGCUCUGCUCUGCUCUCCCAGCUCUGGCUGGGCCUGCAGGACCCAUUCCAUCGCAGUGCCUGCAGGUCGCAGCCUCUCCUGCCAGCCCCACGCAUCCUGGCCCCUCACAUCUCCUGUCAGAGCUCAGCACUGCCCCUCCACUGCACUCCACACUGUGUGGAGCCAUAGGCUGUGAUGAGAUCUCCCCUCAGUCGCCUCUUCUCCCGGCUGAACAAACCAAGAGACCUCAGUUUCUCACCACAUACCUUCCUGUCCAGACCCUUCACCAUCUUCAUAGCCAUCCUUUGGGCACU
Tympanuchus pallidicinctus (lesser prairie-chicken) is the source of this 2832-nucleotide long non-coding RNA. RefSeq lists it as uncharacterized. NCBI's taxonomy places the organism in Eukaryota, Metazoa, Chordata, Aves, Galliformes, Phasianidae. The record is from RefSeq and is a predicted model, not a curated record. The transcript has 2 exons.